UACAGAGGGUGCGAGCGUUGUCCGGAAUCACUGGGCGUAAAGGGCGCGUAGGCGGCUCGGUAAGGUUGCGGUGAAAGCCCGGGGCUCAACCCCGGGUCGGCCGUGGCAACUGCUGGGCUGGAGCACUGUAGAGGCAGGUGGAAUUCCGGGUGUAGCGGUGGAAUGCGUAGAGAUCCGGAAGAACACCGGUGGCGAAGGCGGCCUGCUGGGCAGUAGCUGACGCUGAUGCGCGACAGCGUGGGGAGCAAACAGG
This 253-nucleotide ribosomal RNA is filed under the name uncultured Gemmatimonas sp. RNAcentral describes it as "partial 16S ribosomal RNA". It matches the Rfam family "Bacterial small subunit ribosomal RNA", at positions 524 to 776 of the family's 1533-position model. Lineage: Bacteria; Pseudomonadati; Gemmatimonadota; Gemmatimonadia; Gemmatimonadales; Gemmatimonadaceae. The record is from RNAcentral.